AGCGAAAUUCCUUGUCGGGUAAGUUCCGACCUGCACGAAUGGCGUAACGAUCUGGCGACUGUCUUAACGAGCAGCACAGCGAAUUUGUAGUUCCGGUGAAGAUGCCGGGUACCCGCGUCUAGACGGAAAGACCCCGUGGACCUUUACUAUAACUUGACAGUGAAUUUGGGCGUUGGAUGCGUAGGAUAGGUGGGAGGCUUUGAACUCGGGCUCUUGGGCUCGGGGGAGCCAACGGUGAAAUACCACCCUUCCUGCGUUCGAGUUCUAACCUACUCCCGUCAUCCGGGAGAGGGACACUAUCAGGCGGGUAGUUUGACUGGGGCGGUCGCCUCCUAAACGGUAACGGAGGCGCGCGAUGGUUGGCUCAGGGUGUUUGGAAAUCACCUGUAGAGUGUAAAGGCAUAAGCCAGCCUGACUGUGAGACAAACAAGUCGAGCAGAGACGAAAGUCGGCCUUAGUGAUCCGGCGGUUCCAUAUGGAAGGGCCGUCGCUCAACGGAUAAAAGGUACCCCGGGGAUAACAGGCUGAUCUUGCCCAAGCGUCCACAGCGACGGCAGGGUUUGGCACCUCGAUGUCGGCUCAUCGCAUCCUGGGGGUGCAGAAGCUCCCAAGGGUUCGGCUGUUCGCCGAUUAAAGCGGUACGUGAGCUGGGUUUAGAACGUCGUGAGACAGUUCGGUCCCUAUCUGGCGUGGGCGUAGGAGAAUUGACGGAAUCUGACCUUAGUACGAGAGGACCGGGUUGGAUCGACCUCUAGUGUAACGGUUAUCGUGCCAACGGUAGCGCCGUGUAGCUAUGUCGGGCAGGGAUAAACGCUGAAUGCAUCUAAGCGUGAAGCCCGACCGAAGAUGAGUUCUCCCUAUGAGACCCCUGGAAGACUACCAGGUUGAUAGGCUGGAUGUGUAAGCGUGGUAACGCGUUUAGCUGACCAGUACUAAUCGGUCCAUCGGCUUGACCAUAAAG
This 961-nucleotide ribosomal RNA is filed under the name Blastocatellia bacterium AA13. RNAcentral describes it as "bacterial LSU rRNA". It matches the Rfam family "Bacterial large subunit ribosomal RNA", at positions 1958 to 2925 of the family's 2925-position model. Lineage: Bacteria; Pseudomonadati; Acidobacteriota; Blastocatellia. The record is from RNAcentral.